UGAGGAACAUGACUUUCGGCGGGGGAUAGCCGGCCCAACGGCCGGGUAAUACCGCGUACGACCUUUUGGGGACAUCCCCGAUUGGUGAAAGCAGCAAUGCGCCGAAAAGAGUGCCUCGCGGCCUAUCAGCUAGUUGGUGGGGUAAUGGCUCACCAAGGCGACGACGGGUAGCUGGUCUGAGAGGAUGGCCAGCCACAUUGGGACUGAGACACGGCCCAGACUCCGUACGGGGNGCAGCAGG
Molecule: ribosomal RNA, 241 nt
Filed under: uncultured bacterium
Lineage: Bacteria
Description: partial 16S ribosomal RNA
Rfam family: Bacterial small subunit ribosomal RNA
Source: RNAcentral